Oreochromis aureus is the source of this 857-nucleotide long non-coding RNA. NCBI's taxonomy places the organism in Eukaryota, Metazoa, Chordata, Actinopteri, Cichliformes, Cichlidae. The record is from Ensembl.
GUCCUGAAGAUGCUGCAGCAGAGGAGAUGCUCUGUAGCUGCUGAUGAUGAAUGGUAUCCCUCGGUCCAACCCACUUUCAGCCUGGCGCAUUAGGGGGCGCUAGUAUAAAUAGUGGCCAUUUGAGUGUCCCUGGAUCGCUUGCCUGUGACCUCCUUUUUGGUCACCUGACUUCCUGUUGGUGUUGCUGAGAUUAGUUGCGGGUUACUUUUCUGAAGCCUCCAUCGCAGCUGAUGCGGAGUGCUGACGUGGAGGAGACUAGGGUGCCUUGGUGGUGGGAUCCUCUGAGUGUACACACCUGCCUUGUUUAAUUUAUUAGUGAUAAAAGCAAAGCAGCAGCUACUUUGGUGUGGGAUUCCACAGCUGUGUUACAGAGAUGGAGGAAGAGUUACAGGAACUCAGGGACUUGAUCGUGCAGCUGAAAGCAGACAAUGAGAGGCUGCGUCAGGAGAGGGCUGUUGGGUCAGAUGCGGAGUGCUGACGUGGAGGAGACUAGGGUGCCUUGGUGGUGGGAUCCUCUGAGUGUACACACCUGCCUUGUUUAAUUUAUUAGUGUGAGUGUGCUGCACUUGUGUCUUGGUGUAUUUUCUUUUUUUGAGUUUGUGUGUGGCAUCCCUGCCCUCCACUGGUAAGCCUCAGCUCUGAAUACCUUUUUUUGCAUACUUUUACAUUGAUAUUUAUCACUGUGCUUUUAAAUGUUGUUUUAAUUAAUAAAUUGUCAAUUUAUUUUAUCAUUGAACCUCGUCUCUGUAUUGAGUAUAACAAACCUAACUGCCUUCGUAGUGAUUAGUGUUACCUCCAGUAUUCUCUGGGUGAAAUUCCCAGGGUGGCGUUGUCUUUUUAAAACUGUGAAGAGUAAU